This 547-nucleotide small RNA is filed under the name Pongo abelii (Sumatran orangutan). RNAcentral's name for it is "retained intron". The record is from RNAcentral. Lineage: Eukaryota; Metazoa; Chordata; Mammalia; Primates; Hominidae.
AAGUAAUGGUAUCUUUCCAGGAAGGGAAAAGUUAAAAAAAAUGAAAACAGGCAGGUCUGCACUUGUUGUAACUGACACAGGAGAUAUGUCAUUAUUGAAUUCUCCCAGACAUCAGAGCUGUAUAAUGCAUGUUGAUAUGGAUUGCUUCUUUGUAUCAGUGGGUAUACGAAAUAGACCAGAUCUCAAAGGUCUGUAUUCUUGCUUAUGUUUUAAGAAAAUUGAUAUAUUGUUAUAAAUAUAUAUUCAAAGAGAUUACAAAAUCUUUUUAAAAAAAAUUCUGAUUUUCCUUGGGAAAAUUGGUUCUUCCAAAUUUUCUAUAUUCGAUUAUCAAGGAAGGUAUAGGGAAAUUAGAAUUUUUCUUUCUCCCUAUAGAGAUCUUCAGGGAAGAAUAUUCAUCUUCAGCUGAAGGAUAUGUCAUCGAAGACUAAUGUAGGCAGGAUCUGUAUUGGGCAUUUUCUAAAUUUUUAUCUGUAUUUAUUCCUUGUUAAUGAAUGGAAAUUUUAUGGUGGCUCUUGUCUUUGAGACUUGGGCCACUAUGCUUUCUCUU